RNAcentral lists this ribosomal RNA (774 nucleotides) under uncultured Neocallimastigales. RNAcentral describes it as "partial large subunit ribosomal RNA". It matches the Rfam family "Eukaryotic large subunit ribosomal RNA", at positions 26 to 616 of the family's 3401-position model. Lineage: Eukaryota; Fungi; Neocallimastigomycota; Neocallimastigomycetes; Neocallimastigales. The record is from RNAcentral.
CGCAUCUGUGCAUGCAGCAUAUCAAUAAGCGGAGGAAAAGAAACUAACAAGGAUUCCCCUAGUAACGGCGAGUGAAGCGGGAAGAGCUCAAAUUUGAAAUCUUAAAGGGUUUCCCUUUACGAAUUGUAGUUUAAAGAAGUGUUUUCUGUUGAGGUUUUGGUAAAAGUUCUUUGGAAUAGGACAUCAUAGAGGGUGAGAAUCCCGUAUUUGACCUUUACUUUCAACUUUGUGAUACACUUUCAAAGAGUCGGAUUGUUUGGGAAUGCAGUCCAAAAUGGGUGGUAAAUUUCAUCUAAAGCUAAAUAUUGGCGAGAGACCGAUAGCGAACAAGUACCGUGAGGGAAAGAUGAAAAGAACUUUGAAAAGAGAGUUAAACAGUACGUGAAAUUGUCAAAAGGGAAGCGUUUGACACCAGUGUUGUUUUUCUGAAAAUCAAUUAAAGAACUGUUUAUGCUAAGUUGUUUAGACUUUAUCAGCUAUCUGCUUAGUUUUGAGCUUUUCUUUAAUGCACUUUUCAGUUAACAAGUCAACAUCAAUUUCUUUUGCUGUAAAAAAGCUUGAGGAAGGUGGCUUGAGAUUCGUCUUAAGUGUUUAUAGCCUCUUGCCUAUGCAGUCGGAGAGAUUGAGGUCUGCAGCGUAGAUCCUUCGGGGCUAAAUGCAUUUGUGCUAAGUUAUAACAUUUUAUAGACAACUUGUUGACUAUGAUUUGUCUUGUAGCUUACUCGCUUAUGUUAUUUUACCUACGCUUAGGAUGUUGAGCGCAUGUCUCUCUCU